This is a long non-coding RNA of Puntigrus tetrazona (Sumatra barb), 786 nucleotides long. RefSeq lists it as uncharacterized. The transcript is spliced from 3 exons. The record is from RefSeq and is a predicted model, not a curated record. NCBI's taxonomy places the organism in Eukaryota, Metazoa, Chordata, Actinopteri, Cypriniformes, Cyprinidae.
GAGCCAAAAUGAGAUAUGGGGAGAUAAAGAUGCUAUGUGCGCAACGGCUGCCAUUUGCUGCAAGAUGCCCCCGAGGGGAGCAGGUUGUGAUAGAGAGCCACAAAUUUACACUUCGAAUGUUUUCCGAGUAAGUAAAACAACAGCCGUGUCUCGCGCAAGACAGGUUCAACCAGCCGUUCUGUUCCAACGCAUGCUGGGAGUGAAGUCGAACGAGAAUGAUUCAAGCCCUGGACCCGUGCCAGCACCGAUACCUCGGCUGUUUCCUGCGGUGCGGGCUCUGGGUGACCCCCGUGGCGGGCGUGUUAGAACAUGCAUGGAGAUAGUUUCAGAGAGGGAUGACCUUUAAAAAUUCUCACGACACAGUCUAACUCUACUCUCCCAGUUCAGCCUCCUGAAGAAACACUGAAGGGACUAAAACAUGUUUCUGCCCGAACAAAACUAAAGAUUCACAGCUGUUGAGCUAGAACAAAAAAAGUUCCUCUAUAUAAAAUCUUCUGUUCUGUUCCUAGUUCAGUCACUGUAGGCCAGUACAGAGCUCAAAUAUGUAGAAAUAAAAAGAAAGAGAGAAGAAAUAUUGCACCUUUAAGGUGAAAUAGUGUUGUUUUGGACUGGCAUGGUGGCAAUAAGGACAGGUAUGGUACGCUCGCUCACAUACACGCACACACAAAAAGAAACCUGCAGAUGGUGUGCCUCCCUGUAAAGAGACAGAGCGUGCAAGCGUGAGAAAAAAACUAAACAGAGGCAGUCAGCCACAUGGAGAAUGAAAAAACAGAAAAAUGAGCAACA